CAGCGCCAUGAGUGGCAAUCGUCAUUAUUGGGCCUAAAGCGUCCGUAGCCUGUUUAGUCCGUCUUUUGUGAAAUCGUUUAGCUUAACUAAACGUUGUGCAAAAAAUACUGCUAAACUUGAAACCGGGAGGAGUCAGAGGUAUUUUAAGGGGAGCGGUAAAAUGCUAUAAUCCUUGGAAGACCACCUGUGGCGAAGGCAUCUGACUAGAACGGCUUUGACGGUGAGGGACGAAAGCUAAGGGAGCGAACCGGAUUAGAUACCCGCGUAGUCC
This 271-nucleotide ribosomal RNA is filed under the name uncultured archaeon. RNAcentral describes it as "partial 16S ribosomal RNA". It matches the Rfam family "Archaeal small subunit ribosomal RNA", at positions 477 to 747 of the family's 1478-position model. The record is from RNAcentral.